This 497-nucleotide ribosomal RNA is filed under the name uncultured bacterium. RNAcentral describes it as "partial 16S ribosomal RNA". It matches the Rfam family "Bacterial small subunit ribosomal RNA", at positions 28 to 507 of the family's 1533-position model. The record is from RNAcentral.
GAUGAACGCUGGCGGCGUGCCUAAUACAUGCAAGUCGAGCGAACAGACGAGGAGCUUGCUCCUCUGACGUUAGCGGCGGACGGGUGAGUAACACGUGGAUAACCUACCUAUAAGACUGGGAUAACUUCGGGAAACCGGAGCUAAUACCGGAUAAUAUAUUGAACCGCAUGGUUCAAUAGUGAAAGACGGUUUUGCUGUCACUUAUAGAUGGCUCCGCGCCGCAUUAGCUAGUUGGUAAGGUAACGGCUUACCAAGGCAACGAUGCGUAGCCGACCUGAGAGGGUGAUCGGCCACACGGUAACUGAGACAGGGCCCAGACUCCGACGGGAGGCAGCAGUAGGGAAUCUUACGCAAUGGAGGAAAGCCUGACGGAGCAACGCCGCGUGAAUGAUGAAGGUCUUCGGAUCGUAAAACUCUGUUAUUAGGGAAGAACAAAUGUGUAAGUAACUAUGCACGUCUUGACGGUACCUAAUCAGAAAGCCACGGCUAACUACGUG